Molecule: long non-coding RNA, 578 nt
Organism: Prunus persica (peach)
Lineage: Eukaryota; Viridiplantae; Streptophyta; Magnoliopsida; Rosales; Rosaceae
Exons: 2
Source: RefSeq, a predicted model, not a curated record
ACCCAAAUAGGAACGCAAGAAGCAGAAGACGAAGAAGAAGAAGAAAGGCAGGGUGUGAAACAAGAACGUCGUGGUCGCUCUUAAAUCUUCUUCUCCGUCUGAUUUUCUUUCGACAUCGAGUUUGCUGCUACUUAAGUGAUGGCUGGGCAGGUUGAAAUUUAUGACAUUGCUUGGCAUAUCAACUCCAAGCUAUCUAAGACAAGGUGAGUCCGAAUAAAAUUUGGGGAAACUCAACCUCAAUCUUCCUCUUCCUCGUUGCCAACGGAUCACACAAUAAAACUCAGAUGUUGUGACGGGUUGGGGUAAAGAAUUAGGCCAAGUACACGACUAAUAUACUAUUUUGGAGUCUAUUUAUUUGGCUACUUGAAUUUGUAAUAUUUUCAUUGUAUCUUGAGAUUGUAUUUAUAAAAAAAAAAAAACAUAAUUACUUAAGAUUUUAGAUUUAUAAUUAUUGGUUAUGUAGAUUGAAUGUAUUGAACAAUACUUUCAAUUACAUGAGUGAAGUUUAUGUUGGCUUUGAUGAGGAUAUAGUACCAUUGAGAAUAAGCUUUUAAAGUAAAUUUGACUGUUAUAUCAUA